GCUUCUCUUGAGAGCGGCGGACGGGUGAGUAAUGCCUAGGAAUCUGCCUAGUGGUGGGGGAUAACGUUCGGAAACGGACGCUAAUACCGCAUACGUCCUACGGGAGAAAGCGGGGGAUCUUCGGACCUCGCGCCAUUAGAUGAGCCUAGGUCGGAUUAGCUAGUUGGUGAGGUAAUGGCUCACCAAGGCGACGAUCCGUAACUGGUCUGAGAGGAUGAUCAGUCACACUGGAACUGAGACACGGUCCAGACUCCUACGGGAGGCAGCAGUGGGGAAUAUUGGACAAUGGGCGAAAGCCUGAUCCAGCCAUGCCGCGUGUGUGAAGAAGGUCUUCGGAUUGUAAAGCACUUUAAGUUGGGAGGAAGGGUAGUAACCUAAUACGUUGCUACUUUGACGUUACCGACAGAAUAAGCACCGGCUAACUUCGUGCCAGCAGCCGCGGUAAUACGAAGGGUGCAAGCGUUAAUCGGAAUUACUGGGCGUAAAGCGCGCGUAGGUGGUUCAGUAAGUUGGAAGUGAAAUCCCCGGGCUCAACCUGGGAACUGCUUUCAAAACUGCUGAGCUAGAGUACGGUAGAGGGUGGUGGAAUUUCCUGUGUAGCGGUGAAAUGCGUAGAUAUAGGAAGGAACACCAGUGGCGAAGGCGACCACCUGGACUGAUACUGACACUGAGGUGCGAAAGCGUGGGGAGCAAACAGGAUUAGAUACUCUGGUAGUCCACGCCGUAAACGAUGUCAACUAGCCGUUGGAAUCCUUGAGAUUUUAGUGGCGCAGCUAACGCAUUAAGUUGACCGCCUGGGG
This 800-nucleotide ribosomal RNA is filed under the name uncultured bacterium. Its description in RNAcentral is "bacterial SSU rRNA". It matches the Rfam family "Bacterial small subunit ribosomal RNA", at positions 82 to 878 of the family's 1533-position model. The record is from RNAcentral.